Molecule: ribosomal RNA, 290 nt
Filed under: uncultured bacterium
Lineage: Bacteria
Description: partial 16S ribosomal RNA
Rfam family: Bacterial small subunit ribosomal RNA
Source: RNAcentral
GUGGAUUAGAUACCCUGGUAGUCCUAGCCGUAAACGAUGGACACUAGGUGUUGGUGGUAUCAACCCCGCCAGUGCCGAAGCUAACGCAUUAAGUGUCCCGCCUGGGGAGUACGGCCGCAAGGCUAAAACUCAAAGGAAUUGACGGGGGCCCGCACAAGCAGCGGAGCGUGGGGUUUAAUUCGACGCAACGCGAAGAACCUUACCAGGGCUUGACAUGACCAGGAAGCCGGCGGAAACGUCGGUGCCCCGCAAGGGGCCUGGCCACAGGUGUUGCACGGCCGUCGCCAGCU